AUACGGAGGGUGCAAGCGUUAUCCGGAAUCAUUGGGUUUAAAGGGUCCGUAGGCGGAUUAUUAAGUCAGAGGUGAAAUCCCACAGCUUAACUGUGGAACUGCCUUUGAUACUGGUAGUCUUGAGUUAUAUGGAAGUAGAUAGAAUGUGUAGUGUAGCGGUGAAAUGCAUAGAUAUUACACAGAAUACCGAUUGCGAAGGCAGUCUACUACGUAUAUACUGACGCUAAUGGACGAAAGCGUGGGGAGCGAACAGGAUUAGAAACCCCAGUAGUCC
This 274-nucleotide ribosomal RNA is filed under the name uncultured bacterium. RNAcentral describes it as "partial 16S ribosomal RNA". It matches the Rfam family "Bacterial small subunit ribosomal RNA", at positions 523 to 796 of the family's 1533-position model. The record is from RNAcentral.